CGCGUAGUUAGCCGUGGCUUUCUGAUUAGGUACCGUCAAGAUGUGCACAGUUACUUACACAUUUGUUCUUCCCUAAUAACAGAGUUUUACGAGCCGAAACCCUUCAUCACUCACGCGGCGUUGCUCCGUCAGGCUUUCGCCCAUUGCGGAAGAUUCCCUACUGCUGCCUCCCGUAGGAGUCUGGACCGUGUCUCAGUUCCAGUGUGGCCGAUCACCCUCUCAGGUCGGCUACGUAUCGUCGCCUUGGUAAGCCGUUACCUUACCAACUAGCUAAUACGGCGCGGGUCCAUCUAUAAGUGAUAGCAAAACCAUCUUUCACUUUAGAACCAUGCGGUUCUAAAUGUUAUCCGGUAUUAGCUCCGGUUUCCCGAAGUUAUCCCAGUCUUAUAGGUAGGUUACCCACGUGUUACUCACCCGUCCGCCGCUAACUUCAAAGGAGCAAGCUCCUUAUCUGUUCGCUCGACUUGCAUGUAUUAGGCACGCCGCCAGCGUUCAUCCUGAGCCAGGAUCAAACUCU
Molecule: ribosomal RNA, 517 nt
Filed under: uncultured Staphylococcus sp.
Lineage: Bacteria; Bacillati; Bacillota; Bacilli; Caryophanales; Staphylococcaceae
Description: partial 16S ribosomal RNA
Source: RNAcentral